CCUACGGGGGGCUGCAGUGGGGAAUAUUGGACAAUGGGGGGAACCCUGAUCCAGCCAUGCCGCGUGUGUGAAGAAGGCCCUCGGGUUGUAAAGCACUUUCAGUGAGGAAGAACGCCUGGUGGUUAAUACCCAUCAGGAAAGACAUCACUCACAGAAGAAGCACCGGCUAACUCCGUGCCAGCAGCCGCGGUAAUACGGAGGGUGCGAGCGUUAAUCGGAAUUACUGGGCGUAAAGCGCGCGUAGGUGGCUUGAUAAGCCGGUUGUGAAAGCCCCGGGCUCAACCUGGGAACGGCAUCCGGGACUGUCAAGCUAGAGUGCAGGAGAGGAAGGUAGAAUUCCCGGUGUAGCGGUGAAAUGCGUAGAGAUCGGGAGGAAUACCAGUGGCGAAGGCGGCCUUCUGGACUGACACUGACACUGAGGUGCGAAAGCGUGGGUAGCAAACAGGAUUAGAUACCCCUGUAGUC
RNAcentral lists this ribosomal RNA (465 nucleotides) under Vreelandella stevensii. RNAcentral describes it as "partial 16S ribosomal RNA". It matches the Rfam family "Bacterial small subunit ribosomal RNA", at positions 338 to 795 of the family's 1533-position model. Lineage: Bacteria; Pseudomonadati; Pseudomonadota; Gammaproteobacteria; Oceanospirillales; Halomonadaceae. The record is from RNAcentral.